UGGCGUUGUUUACAAGAACCGUGAUGGCGGACAGAAGGGUUCGGUGACCAGUGACACUCUUUCAAUUUCCUCCACUCCCAGAACUCAGAGAUUCAACAAGAAAGGGAAAAGAAGAGAGAGAGAGAGAGAGAGAGCAAGAGGCACACAGACAGACAGGCAGUGAGAGAGAGAGCGAGAGACAGACAGAGAGAGAGAGAGAGAGAGAGAGAGCAAAAUGGAGGGUGAUCUGUGCCCUCUUUCUCUGUCACAGCCAGCAGCCACAGACCUGCCUGAUAUUGCUCAGUUUUUAUCUAUUUAUAUGUCUGAGGAAGAGACACUAGCUCUGCAGGAGGGACGAGUGAGUAGUGUGAUGAGCCACAGUGUAUUCACAGCCACAGAGCAGCCCACACAGCACACAGAAUUGACACCACAGCCAGCACUACCACCACCGCCACCGCCGCCACCACAACAGCAGCAGCAGCAACAACAACAACAACAACAACAACAACAACAACGGGAUCAUGAUUUCAGUGUCAUGUCUCUGGUCUCUCACAGCCCCAAUGCAGUUGUGUUUGAGGUGCAAGAGAUGCGGGGAGGAGACUGCCAGGGAGGUGAUGGGAGAGAGGGAGCCCCGUGCUGCUUCACCUUUCCCAGGGUGAGUGCUGGCAGUCUGGCCAGGCGGCGGUGGUGGUGGUGGUGGCGGUGGUGACGCUACCCGGGGACAGGCAGCGUGGUGGUGGUUGGCCUGGUGUCUCUGGCCAGGUGGUGCGGGGCCUGGAGGAGGUGCAGGAGGCAGCCCGCCACUGCCCCACUGCUGAGGUGACUGUGGUGCAGUGUGGCGUGGUGCUGGCACGGCACUGCUGCACCACACCACACACCACACCACUGCCACCAUCAUUUAUUUAUUUAUUUAUUUUUGAGUAGACAAGCAAACACAUACACACGCCCAUAAACACACACACACACACACACACACACAUACAUACAUACAGACAGACAUACAGACAGACAGACGGACACACAUUUAAAGUUGAGAGUGCGGGUUGUGAUGGUGGCGGUUGUUGGUGUGAAUAUUGGCGGCAGGACACACCGCUCCACGCAUUGCUCCUUCACUAACAACACGAAAGUUUCCAGCGCAAACACUUCUGUUAUCAAUAUUCACACUGUCUCAUUUUGCUUCUCAAUAAAAUGAUUGUACAAACACAAA
Molecule: RNA transcript, 1186 nt
Organism: Scylla paramamosain (green mud crab)
Lineage: Eukaryota; Metazoa; Arthropoda; Malacostraca; Decapoda; Portunidae
Gene name: protein Tob1-like
Exons: 4
Source: RefSeq, a predicted model, not a curated record